CCGCCAUGAGUGAAGGAGCAGGCUGCUCCCAGCUGUGAGGGAUGUGGGCACCCAGGUCCAACCCUCAGACCUCAUGGUGCAUGGCCAGGACUUCAUGCUAAGCGACUCCUCAGAGUCCCAAAGYGCAGACCUGCAGCUUCUGGGACUGCAAGUGUCCCCUGCAGAGGUGUCCCAGGGAGAAACAGCAUCUUCUGUGCCAGACGUCCCCCUGCAGUUGGAGGCGAUGCUCAGAGACAUUUUGGAGGAGGCUGCCACCACCAGCACCGAGAGCCGAGCACACAGCCCUCCCUGCGCUGAGCUGCCUGAUGGGAGUGAACUAGCCCAAGAGAAGUCCACCUCGCUUUUGCCACCUGAAUCAGCCAGCGUUGCUCCUGCCAUCCUCAGUGACGUGGGCACAGCAGCGGGGGCUGAGAGCCAGGGGCCAGCCCCACACAGCCCCACACCACCUGCCGCGGCUCAGGAGGACGCGGUGCAGGGGCUCGUGGCUGCAGCCCUGAGCYGUGCUGAGGACGCGAGCCCGGGCCCCAGCCAGCAGCCAGCACAGCCAGGCGGGGACGAAGCUGCAGAGGAGCUUGAUGCGGCCGUGCCACAGGGUCUGGUGGCACAYGCCAUCAGUCCACUGCCACCGGCAAGGACAGCCCACGAGCAGACCAUCGAGCAUGCCGAAAGCGCUACCCCUGCAGCUCAGCAAGGACCAGGUCACCACGCUCGCAGGGGCAAGAGGGCUGCCAAAGCUGCCAGCGAGCCAGCUUCCCCUGUCGUCAGCAGUGGGCCAGGGCAUAUGGGACCGGCACCAGCAGGGCGGGAGGUGGCAGCAGGGCCGAGAGUCGUGCCAGUGCUGUGGGACGAGCAGCGGAGCUCCAGUGAGGAUGAAGAAGGGGAGGGCGAUGCUGAAAGAAUCAUUUUAGAACGGAGACACCUGGAGAGAGAGCCCUCCAUCCGCACCAUCUGGGUCAGAGACAGUUUGCAGAACCUGCCCAUGUUGCCCGGGGGCAGGGUCAGAGGCCCUCGCAGAGAUGCCGCCGGCGACUCGCAGCUCCCACCUCUCCCCCUGGCAGCACCCGCCGAAGCCGAGGCUGCAGGUCUGCCCUUGGCUGGAGCCCCUCGGGAGCAGGGCAGCAGGGUGCCCCUYGCCCCAGUAGUGCCCGAAGAGGAAAGCCCAGUGGCUUUGCCCUUGGCUGGAGCCUCUUGGGAUGAGGGGGUGCAUCGCCUCCCAGAAGACCCUGAAGAAGAAGAGCCAGCGGCUUUGCCCAUGGUUGGAGGCCCCUGGGAUGAGGUGAGCAAGGAGCGCGUGGUGGGCACUGACCGUCCAAGGGAGCCGGCUGUGGCAGCUCCGUGUGGCAUGUGUGUGGUGGGGAGAUGCGCUGUGGUCACUGGUGCAGCCUGCCGGAAGCACCAGGGCUGACACCCCCUCCAUGGUCUGCAUUGCCUUCGAGCGUGGGGUCRGAUGCCGAGCGAGGAGGGAAGGGGCCGGUCCCCGCAGCAG
This 1486-nucleotide long non-coding RNA is filed under the name Apteryx rowi (Okarito brown kiwi). RNAcentral describes it as "lncRNA (ENSARWG00000007903.1)". Lineage: Eukaryota; Metazoa; Chordata; Aves; Apterygiformes; Apterygidae. The record is from RNAcentral.